CCUCUGCCUUGUGGGAUCCAAAAACAAAGUUCUGUGAGUUUGCUUCAUUUUUCCUGCUCUGGUCUCUGUAGUUACUGUCGCCAACCCCUUGCCUCCUGGACAGAUCUCCCGUCUCCUGAGAGGUCCCCACCAGAACGUCUUUAUAUGACAACUGCCCUACUGAUUGACUUGGACCUGAGGCAGGUUCUGUUCUGUUCUGAUCUUUUCUCUUAGAUGUCUUCUCAGGCACCUCCUGUGUUACUGAGGGAGCUGGACUAGUAGAUUGUUUUUGACUAGUGUUUGGCUCAUCUGUUGGGUCAGAACCCCUCUGAUCACCAAGGGAUACUUGGGAUUGGUCAACACACUUCUUUGAGUUUGCUUCAUUUGUUAUAUUCUCGUCGGUCUGGUUACUAGAGGUCUUCAGUUCAUUCAGAACUCUAACCUCUGUGUUGCCUUCACCAUCAAGGCUUUUUGAUGGCUCCGUUGACCCGUGUGACGUCCCCUUCAGGUCUUCCUCAUCCAAGAGUUUACUGGCUGGUUGAGUUGGGUCUGAGGCACGUCCUCCUGUGUUCUGAUCAGCUGUCUCGGGUGUGGAUGAGGCCUGUGUGACUGAUGUAGGACUAGGUUGGUUUGGCUCAUUCACUGGUGCGUCUACGUUUGCCUUCGAUGGACCCUUGGCCUGGUCUUCUGGCAGUGUCUGGUGUGGGGAUGGGUUUGGAGAGGCUAUAGGUAUGGUUGGAGGGCCAGUAGGUGUGGCGGUGAUGACAGGAGGGCCAGUAGGUGUGGCAAUGUUGACAGGAGGGCCAGUAGGUGUGGUGGUGUUGACAGGAGGGCCAGUAGGUGUGGCAGUGUUGACAGGAGGGCCAGUAGGUGUGGCGGUGUUGACAGGAGGGCCAGUAGGUGUGGCGGUGUUGACAGGAGGGCCAGUAGGUGUGGCAGUGUUGACAGGAGGGCCAGUACGUGUAGUGGUGUUGACAGGAGGGUCAUCCACCACUGAAGUAGAGCUCUCACUGACAGACAACUCAUCUUUCUCUUGACGUGUGUCAGUGCUCAGCUCAAUAGCGCUGGAAGAGCCUCCACUCUAUGAACAAUGUAUACAAAAAUGAGGCCUUUUAACACAUAAAUCAUUAAGGAUCAGCAUUUCUGAUUCAUAAGCCCUGCCCAUUAAAGCGUUCCCAUUCCAUGCUAAUUUCACUGGGUUCCCUUGACUUAAAACCCACGUCUGGUCACAUCCUAACGUCACAAAUUGAAAGUGUGACUGGUUCUGUUUAAACAAAUAUAUAAUUGUAAAUCUCUUAUC
Oncorhynchus tshawytscha (Chinook salmon) is the source of this 1279-nucleotide long non-coding RNA. NCBI's taxonomy places the organism in Eukaryota, Metazoa, Chordata, Actinopteri, Salmoniformes, Salmonidae. The record is from Ensembl.